RNAcentral lists this ribosomal RNA (406 nucleotides) under uncultured Streptococcus sp. RNAcentral describes it as "bacterial SSU rRNA". It matches the Rfam family "Bacterial small subunit ribosomal RNA", at positions 974 to 1382 of the family's 1533-position model. The record is from RNAcentral. Lineage: Bacteria; Bacillati; Bacillota; Bacilli; Lactobacillales; Streptococcaceae.
CCAGGUCUUGACAUCCCGAUGCUAUUUCUAGAGAUAGAAGUUACUUCGGUACAUCGGUGACAGGUGGUGCAUGGUUGUCGUCAGCUCGUGUCGUGAGAUGUUGGGUUAAGUCCCGCAACGAGCGCAACCCCUAUUGUUAGUUGCCAUCAUUCAGUUGGGCACUCUAGCGAGACUGCCGGUAAUAAACCGGAGGAAGGUGGGGAUGACGUCAAAUCAUCAUGCCCCUUAUGACCUGGGCUACACACGUGCUACAAUGGUUGGUACAACGAGUUGCGAGUCGGUGACGGCGAGCUAAUCUCUUAAAGCCAAUCUCAGUUCGGAUUGUAGGCUGCAACUCGCCUACAUGAAGUCGGAAUCGCUAGUAAUCGCGGAUCAGCACGCCGCGGUGAAUACGUUCCCGGGCCUU